GUUUUCGGAUCGUAAAACUCUGUUGUUAGAGAAGAACAAGGAUGAGAAGAGAAUGUUCAUCCCUUGACGGUAUCUAACCAGAAAGCCACGGCUAACUACGUGCCAGCAGCCGCGGUAAUACGUAGGUGGCAAGCGUUGUCCGGAUUUAUUGGGCGUAAAGCGAGCGCAGGCGGUUCUUUAAGUCUGAUGUGAAAGCCCCCGGCUUAACCGGGGAGGGUCAUUGGAAACUGGGGAACUUAAGUGCAGAAGAGGAGAGUGGAAUUCCAUGUGUAGCGGUGAAAUGCGUAGAUAUAUGGAGGAACACCAGUGGCGAAGGCGGCUCUCUGGUCUGUAACUGACGCUGAGGCUCGAAAGCGUGGGGAGCAAACAGGAUUAGAUACCCUGGUAGUCCACGCCGUAAACGAUGAGUGCUAAGUGUUGGAGGGUUUCCGCCCUUCAGUGCUGCAGCUAACGCAUUAAGCACUCCGCCUGGGGAGUACGACCGCAAGGUUGAAACUCAAAGGAAUUGACGGGGGCCCGCACAAG
This 525-nucleotide ribosomal RNA is filed under the name uncultured bacterium. RNAcentral's name for it is "bacterial SSU rRNA". It matches the Rfam family "Bacterial small subunit ribosomal RNA", at positions 414 to 929 of the family's 1533-position model. The record is from RNAcentral.